GAGUUUGAUCCUGGCUCAGGAUGAACGMUAGCGGCAGGCUUAAUACAURCAAGUCGAGGGGCAGCAGCUUUAUAGCAAUAUAGAGGCUGGCGACCGGCAAACGGGUGCGGAACACGUACACAACCUUCCUUGAAUAGGGGGAUAGCCCAUAGAAAUGUGGAUUAAUACCCCGUAAUAUAGCGGUGUGGCAUCACACUGUUAUUAUAGUUUCGGCGACUCGAGAUGGGUGUGCGGCUGAUUAGGUAGUUGGCGGGGUAAAGGCCCACCAAGCCUUCGAUCAGUAGCUGAUGUGAGAGCAUGAUCAGCCACACGGGCACUGAGACACGGGCCCGACUCCUACGGGAGGCAGCAGUAAGGAAUAUUGGUCAAUGGACGCAAGUCUGAACCAGCCAUGCCGCGUGAAGGAUGAAGGUCCUCUGGAUUGUAAACUUCUUUUAUAGGGGGCGAAAAAAGGUCUUUCUAGAUCACUUGACAKUACCCG
This 481-nucleotide ribosomal RNA is filed under the name uncultured Bacillota bacterium. RNAcentral's name for it is "bacterial SSU rRNA". The record is from RNAcentral. Lineage: Bacteria; Bacillati; Bacillota.